Molecule: long non-coding RNA, 90 nt
Organism: Apus apus (common swift)
Lineage: Eukaryota; Metazoa; Chordata; Aves; Apodiformes; Apodidae
Exons: 3
Source: RefSeq, a predicted model, not a curated record
AAGGGUGAGAAGGGGGACCGUGGUGAGACGGGACCACAAGGACGUACAGGGCAGCCAGGACCCCGUGGGGAGCCGGGUCGCCAUGGGCUG